GGAAGGAUGGUGGCGGGGGGGGGGGAAGAGACGCUGUCCCGCCUGCCUGCUGCUGCCCCCGGCCUGAAAGAAGGAGAAAAGGGCCACCAUUGGAGGGGGGGGUGGGGUGGGGGUUGGUGAUGUGUGCUUUUCACCGCCAAAAUGUGGACCAGCCCGGCGAGGUCAGAGGUCCCGGACCGCAGGAGACCGAGGUAAUGAUGAUGUCAUGAGAAAUCUCAAGUGCACGCGGCUUAAUUGAUACGCACGAGCCCCGUCUCGCCUCCGAGCAUCCGCCGCUCCCGGAUUUUACCUCCCUCCUCGCCAGCGCAGGGACCGCUCUGACCUCCGCGGGGACGGAAAGGAAAACAACAACCCACCCUCGCUACGGCGGGAUAAAAGCCCCUUUCCCCGAGAGCGGGGAAAGCGCCGCUCCGCCGCAGCGGAGAGCUCCGACCGCGGGCCUUGCCGGCCGGGAGCAGCGCUGCGCUGUGCUGCCGGUUCGCUCUCGCCGUUGCUGUAUGCCGUGUGUUGGGAGGGGGUCAUAGCUCCGCGCCCCGGCCUUGUUUUGCGUCUACAGGGAUGGAUCCGCAGGUCUCCAGAUGGCUGUGAUGUAAAGAACAUCCUGCGUGAAUUUCUUAGGAGUAAACAGUCCCUAUUGACUUCAAAGAGGAAUGCCUAUGAUUCUCGGAUUAUUGCAAUCAGAGCCCCCUCCUAAUGCCAACAUCAUCACCUUCCAUGGGGAAGACACACAGGAGUCCCCCUUCAGCUGCUGGGAGUUACAUAGGCAGGGCAUAGCAUUACAUAAACCCCCUUUUUGCACCAAUUUAUGGCAGAACUCAUGUAGAUGCAAACCACGGCACUCCAGUACAGCCCAGGCCAGCUUUCCCUGCAGAGCAUCCCUUUCCUCCUCCCAGCCAGAUUAUACUCCUGUUAUGUCGAACGUACGGUAUGCAAAGGGACAUCUACUACAAGUCCAAACUAUUACAAGAGAACAGACAGACUGAAGAAUGCAAAGCCGGGGGGGUGGGGAGGGGGGGGGGCGGGGCGGGAAGAGGGGAGCGGAGGGAGAAGUAUUAAAACCACCAACAGUCAGUCAAUACACAUGGAAACACUGCAUGCUGCCAAAGAACAUUUACCUGUAGGUAAAGCAUACAGUAGCGUCAGACUUCUAUUAAACAACAAAAA
This 1164-nucleotide long non-coding RNA is filed under the name Strigops habroptila (Kakapo). Its description in RNAcentral is "lncRNA (ENSSHBG00005003582.1)". The record is from RNAcentral. Lineage: Eukaryota; Metazoa; Chordata; Aves; Psittaciformes; Psittacidae.